CUUGAUUAGUGGCGCACGGGUGAGUAAUGCAUAGAUAAUGUGCCCCUUAGUUCGGGAUAGCCACUGGAAACGGUGAUUAAUACCGGAUACUCCUUCUUGUUAUAAGACAAGUCGGGAAAGUUUUUCGCUAAGGGAUCAGUCUAUGUUCCAUCAGCUUGUUGGUGAGGUAAUGGCUCACCAAGGCUAUGACGGAUAUCUGGUUUGAGAGGAUGAUCAGACACACUGGAACUGAGACACGGUCCAGACUCCUACGGGAGGCAGCAGUGAGGAAUAUUGCACAAUGGAGGAAACUCUGAUGCAGCAACGCCGCGUGGAGGAUGACGCAUUUCGGUGUGUAAACUCCUUUUAUUAGGGAAGAUAAUGACGGUACCUAAUGAAUAAGCACCGGCUAACUCCGUGCCAGCAGCCGCGGUAAUACGGAGGGUGCAAGCGUUACUCGGAAUCACUGGGCGUAAAGGGUGCGUAGGCUGGCUUUUAAGUCAGAUGUGAAAUCCAAUGGCUCAACCAUUGAACUGCAUUUGAAACUGAAAGCCUAGAGUUCAGAAGGGGCAGAUGGAAUUAGUGGUGUAGGGGUAAAAUCCGUAGAUAUCACUAGGAAUAUCAAAAGCGAAGACGAUCUGCUGGGAUGAUACUGACG
RNAcentral lists this ribosomal RNA (637 nucleotides) under uncultured bacterium. Its description in RNAcentral is "bacterial SSU rRNA". It matches the Rfam family "Bacterial small subunit ribosomal RNA", at positions 87 to 745 of the family's 1533-position model. The record is from RNAcentral.